This 277-nucleotide unclassified non-coding RNA is filed under the name Hevea brasiliensis (rubber tree). Lineage: Eukaryota; Viridiplantae; Streptophyta; Magnoliopsida; Malpighiales; Euphorbiaceae. The record is from RNAcentral.
UACCUGUUCCGCAAACAGAAAUGUCAUAUGUGCUAAUACAAUGUUGCAGUAAUAACCAAGAUGGAUGCAAUUCAAAUAGAAUUCUUAGAAUUAUAUGAUUCAAUGAAAUGUUGAGUUUAUGCCUACAACUAUACUUGUUAAAUCUGAUUACAAGGUCGUAUGUGCCAUUGAUGAAGUGCAGAGCACCUAUAACUACAACUUAGAGGAGAAAAAGAAACCAAGAUUUAAAGAAAGAAUAAUCUUAUGCUAUGUUAAUAGAAAAUUUGAUUGCAUUACA